UACGUAGGUGGCAAGCGUUGUCCGGAAUUACUGGGCGUAAAGGGCGCGUAGGCGGGAUGGCAAGUCGGUCGUGAAAUCCCUCGGCUCAACUGAGGAUCGUCGAUCGAUACUGCCGUUCUUGAGGAUUGCAGAGGAGACUGGAAUUCCCGGUGUAGCGGUGAAAUGUGUAGAGAUCGGGAGGAACACCGGUGGCGAAGGCGGGUCUCUGGGCAAUUCCUGACGCUGAGGCGCGAAAGCGUGGGGAGCAAACGGG
This 253-nucleotide ribosomal RNA is filed under the name uncultured bacterium. Its description in RNAcentral is "partial 16S ribosomal RNA". It matches the Rfam family "Bacterial small subunit ribosomal RNA", at positions 524 to 776 of the family's 1533-position model. The record is from RNAcentral.